Molecule: unclassified non-coding RNA, 336 nt
Filed under: soil metagenome
Description: partial contains 5.8S ribosomal RNA, internal transcribed spacer 2, and large subunit ribosomal RNA
Rfam family: 5.8S ribosomal RNA (bases 1-120)
Source: RNAcentral
GAUGAAGAACGUAGCGAAAUGCGAUAAGUAGUGUGAAUUGCAGAAUUCAGUGAAUCAUCGAAUCUUUGAACGCACAUUGUGCCCCUUGGUAUUCCAUGGGGCAUGCCUGUUCGAGCGUCAUUUGUACCUUCAAGCUUUGCUUGGUGUUGGGUGUUUGUCUCGCCUUUGCGUGUAGACUCGCCUUAAAAUAAUUGGCAGCCGGCGUAUUGAUUUCGGAGCGCAGUACAUCUCGCGCUUUGCACUCAUAACGACAGCGUCCAAAAGUACAUUUUACACUCUUGACCUCGGAUCAGGUAGGGAUACCCGCUGAACUUAAGCAUAUCAAUAAGCGGAGGA